Molecule: transfer RNA, 87 nt
Filed under: Candidatus Tayloriibacteriota bacterium
Lineage: Bacteria; Candidatus Tayloriibacteriota
Description: tRNA-Ser
Rfam family: tRNA
About the family: Transfer RNA (tRNA) molecules are approximately 80 nucleotides in length.
Source: RNAcentral
GGAGGCGUCGCAUAGUGGUCUAGUGCGCGACCCUGGAAAGGUCGUAUAUCCGCAAGGGUAUCGAGAGUUCGAAUCUCUCCGCCUCCG